GACGAAGGGGGCUAGCGUUGUUCGGAAUUACUGGGCGUAAAGCGAGUGUAGGUGGUUGUCCAAGUUGGAUGUGAAAGCCUUGAGCUCAACUCAAGAAAUGCAUUCAGGACUGGGCGGCUAGAGGACCGGAGAGGAUAGUGGAAUUCCCAGUGUAGUGGUGAAAUACGUAGAGAUUGGGAAGAACACCAGUGGCGAAGGCGGCUAUCUGGACGGUUUCUGACACUAAGACUCGAAAGCGUGGGGAGCAAACAGGAUUAGAUACCCUGGUAGUCCACGCCGUAAACGAUGGGUGCUAGACGUUGGCGAGCUUGCUCGUCAGUGUCGCAGCUAACGCGUUAAGCACCCCGCCUGGGGAGUACGGCCGCAAGGUUGAA
This 374-nucleotide ribosomal RNA is filed under the name uncultured bacterium. RNAcentral describes it as "bacterial SSU rRNA". It matches the Rfam family "Bacterial small subunit ribosomal RNA", at positions 524 to 898 of the family's 1533-position model. The record is from RNAcentral.